CCUACGGGUGGCUGCAGUAGGGAAUAUUGCUCAAUGGGGGAAACCCUGAACCAGCAACGCCGCGUGGGGGAUGAAGGUUUUCGGAUUGUAAACCCCUUUUGUCAGAGAAGAAAAUGACGGUACCUAACGAAUAAGCCCCGGCCAACCCCGUUCCAGCAGCCGCGGUAAUACGGUGGGUGCAAGCGUUACUCGGAAUCACUGGUCGUAAAGAGCGCGCAGGCGGGAGAGCAAGGCCGAUGUGAAAUCCUAUGGCUUAACCAUAGAACUGCAUUUGAAACUGUUAUGCUAGAGUAUGGGAGAGGUAGGUGGAAUUCGUGGUGUAGGGGUAAAAUGCGUAGAGAUCAAGAGGAAUACUGAUUGCGAAGGCGACCUGCUGGAACAUAACUGACGCUGAGGCGCGAAAGCGUGGGGAGCAAACAGGAUUAGAUACCCUGGUAGUC
Molecule: ribosomal RNA, 440 nt
Filed under: uncultured bacterium
Lineage: Bacteria
Description: partial 16S ribosomal RNA
Rfam family: Bacterial small subunit ribosomal RNA
Source: RNAcentral